This 368-nucleotide non-coding RNA is filed under the name Pongo abelii (Sumatran orangutan). Lineage: Eukaryota; Metazoa; Chordata; Mammalia; Primates; Hominidae. The record is from RNAcentral.
CGCCGCGGGUGUGCUGGGCGCCGGUGGAGGGGGAAACAGCGAGGAUUAGACGCCGGGAAGCACUUCCCCAACAUCUGCGAGAGAAUCCCAUCAUCCCGUGCACAUCUCAUCCCAGGAGGGAGAGAGGAGCUGCCGAGCAGAAAGCAGACUGGCUGCAGGGACAGAAGACACCAAGGGCACCCUCCCCCCACAGCUAUGCCUGGACCUCCUGCAAGAAGAGGAAGCCUUAGGGGUCUUUAUUGUAUCCUCAAGACCCCAGAGAGAAACAGAAGUGCUGAGGGGUCACAGGCAGUUCUCUUACCCUCUCUGGGCCUCGAAUAUUUAUCCAUAGGAGGCUGAAAGUACCUGCCUCGCAACUCAUUCAUGAG